This 223-nucleotide long non-coding RNA is filed under the name Ricinus communis (castor bean). RNAcentral's name for it is "long non-coding RNA (RCOM_LNC001931)". Lineage: Eukaryota; Viridiplantae; Streptophyta; Magnoliopsida; Malpighiales; Euphorbiaceae. The record is from RNAcentral.
UUGCUGUUGGCUUUUCCUCUUAUGUAAACUAGACAAUGCAUUCUUUUUUGUCUUGAACUUGUUUGAGAAUUCCACCAUAACCUAAAUUUGAUGCAUUAGUUUCAACAAUUUUGAAUGCAGAUGGAUGAGCUAGAUGUAAACAUGAAAUUUCAGAAACUUACUUUUUUAAUGCUUUGGACAAUCUUUGUAUGCUCAUCAGUCCAUGCAGGGGGAUUUAUCUUUA